This 460-nucleotide ribosomal RNA is filed under the name uncultured Campylobacterota bacterium. RNAcentral describes it as "bacterial LSU rRNA". It matches the Rfam family "Bacterial large subunit ribosomal RNA", at positions 1369 to 1807 of the family's 2925-position model. The record is from RNAcentral. Lineage: Bacteria; Pseudomonadati; Campylobacterota.
UCAUCGUAGGGUUAGUCGGGUCCUAAGCUGAGUCCGAAAGGGGUAAGCGAUGGAAAAUCGGUUAAUAUUCCGAUACCAACUGUAGAGCGUGAUGGGAGGACGCAUAGGGCUAUGUGAGGUCACUGAUGGAAUAGUGGCUCGAAGGGUGUAGGCUGGGAGAGAAAGGAAAAUCCACUCUCCUAUAGCUGAGACCUGACAGGCUGUGGAGGCUUUUAGGAGCCAAAACAGAAUCACAGAUGCCGAAGUGCCAAGAAAAGUCUCUAAGCAUAUCUAUAGUUGCCCGUACCGUAAACCGACACAGGUGGGUGAGAUGAGAAUUCUAAGGCGCGUGGAAGAACCAUUGUUAAGGAACUCUGCAAACUAGCACCGUAUCUUCGGUAUAAGGUGUGCCUACUUGGGUGAAGCUCCUAGCGAGUGGAGCCUGAGAGGUUGCAACAAAGAGUCCCUCCCGACUGUUUAC